UUGCUCAAGUAAAAGAUUAAGCCAUGCAUGCACAGUCCAAUCGACUUUUCGAAUGAAACUGCGGACGGCUCAUUAUAGCAUUGAAACGUUAUUCUGGCACCAUAACGAGGAUAUCUGCGGAAAUACUGGAGUUAAUACUUGCCUAUGAUGUCCUGCCCGACGUAAGUCAGGCUGCGGUUAUUAGUGAAGGCCAACCGUCUCUGACGGACUGUGUUGACACUGAAUAACGCUCGUUCAUUGUCGGUUUAUCCGGCAAGGUCCAGAAAACUUUUCUGCCCUAUCAACUAGACGUCAGAGUCGUGACCUGACGUGGUUGCCACGGGUAACGGAGAAUUAUGUUCGUCUCCGGAGAGGCCGCCUUAGAAACGGCUACCACAUCCAAGGAAGGCAGCAGGCGCGAAACUUACUCACUAUNAUAGAUGAAGUAGUAACUGGAAAUACAAAACCUUUGCCCUAUGGGUAGAGGUAUUUGAAUGAGAAGAUAUUAAAAAUAUCUCCGAGAAACUAAGAGAGGGCAAGUCUGGUGCCAGCAGCCGCGGUAAUUCCAGCUCUCUUAGCGUAUGUCAUUAUUGCUGAGGUUAAAAAGUACAUAGUUGAUUUCAUGUUAGCCGUCGCCGGUUCGCCUUCUUGGCGUCAAUCGGCCGUCUCUCAUGUGACGGAGUCGCACUCGUGUGGCGUCGUCGAGUUUACUUUGAUUAAAUCAGAGUGCUCAAAACAGGCUUAUGUCUGAAUGUGUUAUCAAGGAAUAAUGCAAAAGGUCUGCGGAUCUUUGAUUGGUCUAUGAGACGUAGAAAUGGUUAAUGUCCACUGUCGGGGCCGAUCGUAUUCCUGCGGGAGGGGUGAAAUCCGUUGAUCGCAGGAGGACGUCCAAAAGCGAAAGCAGUCGGCAAGUCAGUGGUCGUCAAUCAAGUUCGAUAGGUAGAGGUUCGAAGGCGAUUAGAUACCGCCCUAGUUCUACCCGUAAACGAUCGUAACUCGCGAUCUGCCCGCGUACCUACGCGUGGCUAGGGAGCGUUCCGGAAACGAAAGUCUUUCGUGUCCUGGACGUAGUACGGUUGCAAAUCUGAAACUUAAAGAAAUUGACGGAAGGGCACCACCAGGAGUGGAGCUUGCGGCUUAAUUUGACUCAACACGGGAAAACUCACCCGGUCCAGACGUGGUUAUGAUUGACAGACUGAUAGCUCUUUCUCGAUUUCACGGUUAGUGGUGCAUGGCCGUUCUUAGUUCGUGGAGUGAUUUGUCUGGUUAAUUCCGAUAACGAGCGAGACUCAGUCCUACUAAAUAGAAGGCAAGUAUUGUCCGGCUUGUCAAUUCUUCUUAGAGGAAUAAGCGGUUUUUAGCCGCACGAGAUUGAGCAAUAACAGGUCUGUGAUGCCCUUAGAUGUCUGGGGCUGCACGCGUGCAACAAUGGAAACAUCAACGUGCGUACCGUCGCCGAGAGGUGUCGGGAAACCGUUGAAAUGUUUUCGUGACUGGGACCAGACUUUGUAAUUAGUCUGUGAACGAGGAAUUCCUAGUAAGUGUGAGUCAUCAGCUCGCGCUGAUUACGUCCCUGCCCUUUGUACACACCGCCCGUCGCUAUCCGGGACUGAGCUGUUUCGAGAAGAGUGAGGAUCGACCGCUGUCGGUGUCAUAGCUGACUUCGGAUGUAGAAUCACUUUGAUCGCAAUGGCUUGAACCGGGUAAAAGUCGUAACAAGGUACCG
Molecule: ribosomal RNA, 1705 nt
Filed under: Prodontorhabditis wirthi
Lineage: Eukaryota; Metazoa; Nematoda; Chromadorea; Rhabditida; Rhabditidae
Description: SSU rRNA
Rfam family: Eukaryotic small subunit ribosomal RNA
Source: RNAcentral